ACGGCUACCUUGUUACGACUUAGCCCCAGUCACCGGUUUUACCCUAGGGCGCUGCUUGCGCUCACGCACUUCAGGCACUCCCGGCUUCCAUGGCUUGACGGGCGGUGUGUACAAGGCCCGGGAACGUAUUCACCGCGCCGUGGCUGAUGCGCGAUUACUAGCGAAUCCAGCUUCAUGGAGUCGGGUUGCAGACUCCAAUCCGAACUGAGACAGGUUUUCGGGUUCCGCUCCUUGUCGCCAAGUGGCUUCCCGCUGUACCUGCCAUUGUAACACGUGUGUCGCCCCGGACGUAAGGGCCGUGCUGAUUUGACGUCAUCCCCGCCUUCCUCUCAGCUUGCGCCGGCAGUCUCCACAGAGUCCUCAGCUUCACCUGUUAGCAACUGUAGAUGGGGGUUGCGCUCGUUAUGGCACUUAAGCCGACACCUCACGGCACGAGCUGACGACAACCAUGCAGCACCUCGUCGGAAGUCCCGAGGGAAAUGCGGAUUUCUCCGCACGUCCUCCGACGUUUGAGCCCGGGUAAGGUUCCUCGCGUAUCAUCGAAUUAAACCACAUGUUCCUCCGCUUGUGCGGGCCCCCGUCAAUUCCUUUGAGUUUCACCGUUGCCGGCGUACUCCCCAGGUGGAAUGCUUAACGCUUUCGCUGUGUCACCCAGUC
RNAcentral lists this ribosomal RNA (657 nucleotides) under uncultured bacterium. RNAcentral's name for it is "partial 16S ribosomal RNA". The record is from RNAcentral.